Molecule: long non-coding RNA, 2985 nt
Filed under: Solanum lycopersicum (tomato)
Lineage: Eukaryota; Viridiplantae; Streptophyta; Magnoliopsida; Solanales; Solanaceae
Description: long non-coding RNA (SLYC_LNC000903)
Source: RNAcentral
GGGCUUCUUGGCCAAAAAUCAUCAACUUCUUGGCAUGUUUUAAAUUUUUCUGAAUUCUGGACCUUUAUGUACAUUUUUGAGGUGUACAAAUACCAAAAUAAGGAAUUGGGCCUCGGUGGCCCUAUAGGAUAGUGCAAGAAACAAAUAAUCAUGAAGCCCAUGGGAGAUUUCACAUGCAAACAAAGGGUAAUAAAGUGAGUAACAAAUCGUGAUUCAAAGUGAGCAAAUGUCUACUAAAGGUAAAUAUAUGACAUCAUAUUCAAUUAUAAACAGAAUAAAGAAACAUAGAAGCCUUAAGACAACCAAAGCAAUAGUCCAAGAUUGAGAAAACACAAAUAUUCAGGAAUAUAUAAAAAUAUUGCUUUAUCCAAAAAUUUCACACUAAGAAAAUAUGAAAGCCCACUACUGACUUGAUGACUUUCAAUGAAUCAUGCACACUAAACAAUAGUAGAACAGUUUGUGUAAAAAAGUAAACAUUUUGAUAAUAACUAUCAACAAAAAUGAAAAAGAGGUCAACAUUUUCUAGACAUGUUCUUCCCAACAUGAAUGGAUAUCACCAAACUCAAAAAAAAUAAAAUAAAAGAAUGAUAUGACGUUACGAAUAGCUAAAAAUCGUAGAACAACCUGCAUUAACUACAAUUCAACUUUAUAAUUACAAAGUAAUAUGCAUAAACUGUUGUUUCUCCUCAAUCGAUAAUAACUCAAAAUACCUAAGAAUGAUACAUAGUGUACUCCAACAGGCUUAAGAAAAGGGGGAAAAAUUACAUGACAUUAAUACAAAGUUUUUUAUUUUUAUAAGAAAAACAAUUUGUACUGAACAUGUCACUAGAGAAAACAACACAAGUACAACAAGAAAAAAUAAGAUGCAAACUUCAUAUUUUCCGCAACUUUGGGUAAGAAAAUGAAGACAAGAAUAUAACUACUAGCUUAAAUGCACAAGACAAAGACAAUAUUCGGAUUGCAAGCAUAACUACAAGCCUCAUGAGAUAUUCUAAUACUAAUUUAGAAUCGGCCAACGCAUAGUAGAAAUGAUAAAAGAGGUCACUAAAACAUGAGUAAACAGUGCAGAAGUCCAAACAACUAAACAUCCAAAGUCACAACCAAAUGCAUCAACUAUUUCACUUCCAUUUAUAUUUCAUAUUUGAUAGUCCUAAGAACUCACAGGAGAAACUAAACUUAAAACGAAAUAAUAAUAUGGAGAAAAUAACUAAUCUUAAUAAAUGGACUCCGCUAAACAUCAUAGGAAAAGAAUACAGAAAGAUGAGGUUACCUUUUUCUGCGCAAAAAAAUUGACACAGUGACGAAGCAGGGAAACCAGCUCCUCCAAACAAGCACGGACGCGAGCAACAGUAAAGAACCAAGUAAAAUCUCUUAUCGCGAAUGAAACUGAAAAAAAAUAUGACAAAAUGACUUAGAAAUUUUAAGCUUCGAUCGAGAGUAAAUCACUUCUACCUUGAAAGUAUUUUUGUGUAUUUUAGCCAUUUGGCUUAAGAUAUUUUUUGGUGUGUGUUUGAUUCAAGGAAUGAUCCAAGUAAAAAUCUCCAAUUCAAAAAUUACCAACCAUUUUCUAAAAAAAAAUUACCCCCUUUAACUGUGAACCAAUAACGAUUAUAUAUCAAACUGGGAUUAGGGUUUUUGAAAUAAAAGGGAGGGGGGAGCAGAUGAUAUUUUUUGGACAAAUACCAUACCAAUUAAAAUUUCAAAACUCAAAAUUUAUCCCAUUUAGGCUUAAAACCUUUUCCAAAAUCUUCGACCCCAUUUCAUAAGAGGAAGGGGGAUGCACUCUUAAGAUGCAUUACCAUGUCCUUGGCGUCGACGUGCAUUCAUCUCAUUGUUGCAAGGAUGAAAACACAACUGGAUUUUUGCUGCAAGUACGAGUUGAGAGCGACAUUUAUAGAAGACGACAAUGGCAUCUGGUUUGCUUUGUUUUUACGCAUGUGUAGGCGAAGCACGCCAUUUCUCUAAUUUGCUUUGAUGCAUUUUCUAGAUCUAUUGAUUUGUGAAGGGAGAAUGGAUGUGGGUUGGGUCAAGUGUGGAAAGAGUGGGCUGGGUAUUUUGAAUUUGGAAAAUGGAUUGGGAUUAGGGUUUUUGAAAUAAAAGGGAGGGGGGAGCAGAUGAUAUUUUUUGGACAAAUACCAUACCAAUUAAAAUUUCAAAACUCAAAAUUUAUCCCAUUUAGGCUUAAAACCUUUUCCAAAAUCUUCGACCCCAUUUCAUAAGAGGAAGGGGGAUGCACUCUUAAGAUGCAUUACCAUGUCCUUGGCGUCGACGUGCAUUCAUCUCAUUGUUGCAAGGAUGAAAACACAACUGGAUUUUUGCUGCAAGUACGAGUUGAGAGCGACAUUUAUAGAAGACGACAAUGGCAUCUGGUUUGCUUUGUUUUUACGCAUGUGUAGGCGAAGCACGCCAUUUCUCUAAUUUGCUUUGAUGCAUUUUCUAGAUCUAUUGAUUUGUGAAGGGAGAAUGGAUGUGGGUUGGGUCAAGUGUGGAAAGAGUGGGCUGGGUAUUUUGAAUUUGGAAAAUGGAUUGGGAUUAGGGUUUUUGAAAUAAAAGGGAGGGGGGAGCAGAUGAUAUUUUUUGGACAAAUACCAUACCAAUUAAAAUUUCAAAACUCAAAAUUUAUCCCAUUUAGGCUUAAAACCUUUUCCAAAAUCUUCGACCCCAUUUCAUAAGAGGAAGGGGGAUGCACUCUUAAGAUGCAUUACCAUGUCCUUGGCGUCGACGUGCAUUCAUCUCAUUGUUGCAAGGAUGAAAACACAACUGGAUUUUUGCUGCAAGUACGAGUUGAGAGCGACAUUUAUAGAAGACGACAAUGGCAUCUGGUUUGCUUUGUUUUUACGCAUGUGUAGGCGAAGCACGCCAUUUCUCUAAUUUGCUUUGAUGCAUUUUCUAGAUCUAUUGAUUUGUGAAGGGAGAAUGGAUGUGGGUUGGGUCAAGUGUGGAAAGAGUGGGCUGGGUAUUUUGAAUUUGGAAAAUGGAUUGGGA